CACAUGCAAGUCGACGGGAUCCUAGCUUGCUAGGUGAGAGUGGCGGACGGGUGAGUAACACGUGGGAAUCUGCCUUUGGUUCGGAUAACCGCGGGAAACUGCGGCUAAUACCGAAUGCCCUCGAGAGAGGAAAGAUUUAUCGCCAGAAGAGGAGCCCGCGUCCGAUUUAGGUAGUUGGUGGGGUAAAGGCCUACCAAGCCGACGAUCGGUAGCUGGUCUGAGAGGAUGAUCAGCCACACUGGGACUGAGAUACGGCCCAGACUCCUACGGGAGGCAGCAGUGGGGAAUAUUGGACAAUGGGGGCAACCCUGAUCCAGCAAUGCCGCGUGAGUGAUGAAGGCCUUAGGGUUGUAAAGCUCUUUUGCCAGGGAAGAUGAUGACUGUACCUGGAGAAUAAGCCCCGGCUAACUUCGUG
This 415-nucleotide ribosomal RNA is filed under the name uncultured bacterium. Its description in RNAcentral is "bacterial SSU rRNA". It matches the Rfam family "Bacterial small subunit ribosomal RNA", at positions 52 to 507 of the family's 1533-position model. The record is from RNAcentral.